This 1389-nucleotide ribosomal RNA is filed under the name Microbacterium schleiferi. Its description in RNAcentral is "16S ribosomal RNA". It matches the Rfam family "Bacterial small subunit ribosomal RNA". The record is from RNAcentral. Lineage: Bacteria; Bacillati; Actinomycetota; Actinomycetes; Micrococcales; Microbacteriaceae.
CAUGCAAGUCGAACGGUGAAGCAGAGCUUGCUCUGUGGAUCAGUGGCGAACGGGUGAGUAACACGUGAGCAAUCUGCCCCUGACUCUGGGAUAAGCGCUGGAAACGGCGUCUAAUACCGGAUACGAGCUGCGAAGGCAUCUUCAGCAGUUGGAAAGAAUUUCGGUCAGGGAUGAGCUCGCGGCCUAUCAGCUUGUUGGUGAGGUAAUGGCUCACCAAGGCGUCGACGGGUAGCCGGCCUGAGAGGGUGACCGGCCACACUGGGACUGAGACACGGCCCAGACUCCUACGGGAGGCAGCAGUGGGGAAUAUUGCACAAUGGGCGGAAGCCUGAUGCAGCAACGCCGCGUGAGGGAUGACGGCCUUCGGGUUGUAAACCUCUUUUAGCAGGGAAGAAGCGAAAGUGACGGUACCUGCAGAAAGGCGAACUACGUGCCAGCAGCCGCGGUAAUACGUAGGGCGCAAGCGUUAUCCGGAUUAUUGGGCGUAAGAGCUCGUAGGCGGUCUGUCGCGUCUGCUGUGAAAUCCCGAGGCUCAACCUCGGGUCUGCAGUGGGUACGGGCAGACUAGAGUGCGGUAGGGGAGAUUGGAAUUCCUGGUGUAGCGGUGGAAUGCGCAGAUAUCAGGAGGAACACCGAUGGCGAAGGCAGAUCUCUGGGCCGUAACUGACGCUGAGGAGCGAAAGGGUGGGGAGCAAACAGGCUUAGAUACCCUGGUAGUCCACCCCGUAAACGUUGGGAACUAGUUGUGGGGUCCAUUCCACGGAUUCCGUGACGCAGCUAACGCAUUAAGUUCCCCGCCUGGGGAGUACGGCCGCAAGGCUAAAACUCAAAGGAAUUGACGGGGACCCGCACAAGCGGCGGAGCAUGCGGAUUAAUUCGAUGCAACGCGAAGAACCUUACCAAGGCUUGACAUAUACGAGAACGGGCUAGAAAUAGUCAACUCUUUGGACACUCGUAAACAGGUGGUGCAUGGUUGUCGUCAGCUCGUGUCGUGAGAUGUUGGGUUAAGUCCCGCAACGAGCGCAACCCUCGUUCUAUGUUGCCAGCACGUAAUGGUGGGAACUCAUGGGAUACUGCCGGGGUCAACUCGGAGGAAGGUGGGGAUGACGUCAAAUCAUCAUGCCCCUUAUGUCUUGGGCUUCACGCAUGCUACAAUGGCCGGUACAAAGGGCUGCAAUACCGCGAGGUGGAGCGAAUCCCAAAAAGCCGGUCCCAGUUCGGAUUGAGGUCUGCAACUCGACCUCAUGAAGUCGGAGUCGCUAGUAAUCGCAGAUCAGCAACGCUGCGGUGAAUACGUUCCCGGGUCUUGUACACACCGCCCGUCAAGUCAUGAAAGUCGGUAACACCUGAAGCCGGUGGCCCAACCCUUGUGGAGGGAGCCGUCGAAGG